AGCGGCGGACGGGUGAGUAACACGUGGGCAACCUGCCCGUGAAGCGGGGGAUUAACAUUUGGGAAACAGGUGCUAAUACCGCAUAACACCAAAGCACAUGCUUUUGGUUUGAAAGAUGGUUUCGGCUAUCACUUCAGGAUGGGCCCGCGGUGCAUUAGCUUGUUGGUGGGGUAAAAGCCUACCAAGGCGAUGAUGCAUAGCCGAGUUGAGAGACUGAUCGGCCACAAUAGAACUGAGACACGGUCCAUACUCC
Molecule: ribosomal RNA, 253 nt
Filed under: uncultured Bacilli bacterium
Lineage: Bacteria; Bacillati; Bacillota; Bacilli
Description: partial 16S ribosomal RNA
Rfam family: Bacterial small subunit ribosomal RNA
Source: RNAcentral